AGAAACUUAGGAUAAUCUUUAAACCGAGAGCCUUCAAAGCUCAAAAUAUGGGUGAAACCCCCACAGUUUCUG
This 72-nucleotide transfer RNA is filed under the name Anolis hendersoni. RNAcentral's name for it is "tRNA-Trp". It matches the Rfam family "tRNA". From Rfam's summary of the family: Transfer RNA (tRNA) molecules are approximately 80 nucleotides in length. The record is from RNAcentral. Lineage: Eukaryota; Metazoa; Chordata; Lepidosauria; Squamata; Anolidae.